GUGGAAUGGAAAGAAGAAAAGAGACAGCAGAGCCGAAGAUUUUCACAUGCUGUGCUAGGAGUGCUGUAUUCCGGUCAUGUACCUCUAGCAGCCUUGACUUCCACCCAUUCUCUUACACAUCCCACCAGCAGGACCAGGAGGGAACAAGGAUACACAGGGAUGAGACAGUUCCUGGAUUAAGCCAAAGUCAGGGAGACUGCUUGCCAAUUGCUCUUACAGACAAAAAAAGGCCUGAAGAAAAUUCAUUUGCUGCUAGUUAAGAAUGUUAAUUUCUAAUCUGGAUAGUGAGAAACAAGAAGAUAAAUAUCAGUAAGAAUGUGUCUUCCUUGCCUUAGCUAGGCUCCACUUCACUGGAAACCAAGCAAUGUAUGCCCCAACCAGCAGAGUGGGAACGGAGAGCAGUACUGUCAGUCAGAGUUUCUCCUCGUGGUUCCCUCUCACACAGUCUCUCCAAUCCGGCAUGGCUUCUCCAAGGGCCACUGUCCCCCAGGAAGAUGUACUCUACCGUGGGUUCUACACAGGCCACAGUUCCUCUGGAUAUGACCAUCUGCUUUGUCAUGGAAGAUCUGUGGGCUGCAGCUUUCUCUGUCCUCUCAUUCACUCCUUCCUCACUCUGUCUGUUCCCACCUCCUCUUUUGGCACUAUCCACGUGCUCCCAGAGGCCCCACCAAGCCUGGCAGCUGGCUCUGUGCUGGGGUCACAGCGUGGGCAGGCCCGGACACCCAGAUAUCGCUGCAGAACCCAUUGCAGACAUGAAGAGAGGAGCUCUGCUCAGACCUGGGAAUAGAACAAAUGCCGGAAAGACGGUGAAAUAGGUCAACGGGCUGCAGAUUGAACUCGAAAUUAAACAUGGAGUGAGCCACAGCACGGAGGGAAUUGAACUAGUUACUG
This 891-nucleotide long non-coding RNA is filed under the name Gallus gallus (chicken). RNAcentral describes it as "long non-coding RNA NONGGAT006812". Lineage: Eukaryota; Metazoa; Chordata; Aves; Galliformes; Phasianidae. The record is from RNAcentral.